This 398-nucleotide long non-coding RNA is filed under the name Homo sapiens (human). RNAcentral describes it as "HSALNT0406840". The record is from RNAcentral. Lineage: Eukaryota; Metazoa; Chordata; Mammalia; Primates; Hominidae.
CACCUCCAUCACUGGGAACCAGAUUUCAGCAUGAGACCCAAACCCCUCACCCAGCCCCACCUCCAUCACUGGGAACAAGAUUUCAGCAUGAGACCAAACACCCUCACACAGACUCACCUCCAACAAUGGGGACCAGAUUUCAGCACGAGACCAAACACCCUCACCGAGCCCCACCUCCAACACUAGGGACCAGAUUUCAACAUGAGAAACAAACACCUCCAUCCAGCCUCACCACUAAUACGGGGGACCAGAUUUCAGCAUGAGACCCAAACACCCUCACCCAGCCCCACCUCCAACACUGCGGACGAGAUUUCAGCAUGAGACCCAAACAUCCUCACCCAGCCCCACCCCUAACACUUGGGACCAGAUUUCAGCAUGAGACCCAAACACCCUCACCC